UAUCCCCAUUUAAGGGCAGUACAAAGAAGAAAACACUUUCUCAGUUGUAUUUAUUUUAUUUUUAAAUUUUGGAGGAAGACUAACUUCACAGUGAGACAGAGGACAAAACUAAGGAUCCCUGAAAUGGUACUUCAGAAAAUUCCUACUACCUUGGAGAAGGGAAAGGAGAGAAAACCAACCCGGUUGUAAUGCAGGGACCAGGCAGGCAGGCAUCCACCAGAGGAGACCAGAGCUGCUGCUUUUAAUGCUGAAACCCGAGCUUCGAGAAUGAUGGAAAUCUAUUGUUGACAAGAGGAAAGAAAUAUGGAUUCAACCUAUAACUAUGUUUAGAGCAUCAGGGGAUGAAUUAGCCUAAUUGGAAUAUUAGUCUCAGUUACAGAGAGUAAUCACUACAGGCUGCCUCUGUUUUCAUUAGAAAUUUAAUUAAGUUUAUCAAUGUUUGGCUUCCGCAGUCUUCGUUUUCAGACUCUCCCUGGACAGCCUUGUUGUUUAAGAGGGAAGUGUAUUAGAAUCUCCCCACUUACCAUGGCCCUCAGAAGUCAGCUGGGACCCAGGGAUCGAUGGGACCCCUCUAAGGGCCCUGAAACUCUGAGUCCAUGAGUCUGUUCUGAACAUAUCCCUCAACACAUAUACAGAAACUAUGCAUCAUUAUUUGUAAUACCUAGAGGUUGGAAACAACCCAAUCAUCCAUCAGUGGAGGCCUGUUUGGAUAACAGGGAGUG
Non-coding RNA from Ictidomys tridecemlineatus (thirteen-lined ground squirrel), 722 nucleotides. The record is from RefSeq and is a predicted model, not a curated record. NCBI's taxonomy places the organism in Eukaryota, Metazoa, Chordata, Mammalia, Rodentia, Sciuridae.